GAACGCUGGCGGCGUGCGUAACACAUGCAAGUCGAACGGGAAUGCCACGCUGAUGCGAUUUCGGUCAAAUCAUGUGGCAUUCGAGUGGCGGACGGGUGAGUAACGCGUGGGUAACCUGCCUUACACAGGGGGAUAACACCUGGAAACAGGUGCUAAUACCGCAUAAGCGCACAGGGCCGCAUGGCCCGGUGUGAAAAACUCCGGUGGUGUAAGAUGGACCCGCGUCUGAUUAGCUUGUUGGCGGGGUAGGGGCCCACCAAGGCGACGAUCAGUAGCCGGCCUGAGAGGGUGGACGGCCACAUUGGGACUGAGACACGGCCCAAACUCCUACGGGAGGCAGCAGUGGGGGAUAUUGGACAAUGGGGGAAACCCUGAUCCAGCGACGCCGCGUGAGUGAAGAAGUAUUUCGGUAUGUAAAGCUCUGUCAGCAGGGAAGAAAGAAAUGACGGUACCUGACCAAGAAGCCCCGGCUAACUACGUGCCAGCAGCCGCGGUAAUACGU
Molecule: ribosomal RNA, 502 nt
Filed under: uncultured bacterium
Lineage: Bacteria
Description: bacterial SSU rRNA
Rfam family: Bacterial small subunit ribosomal RNA
Source: RNAcentral